This 578-nucleotide ribosomal RNA is filed under the name uncultured bacterium. RNAcentral's name for it is "bacterial SSU rRNA". It matches the Rfam family "Bacterial small subunit ribosomal RNA", at positions 102 to 676 of the family's 1533-position model. The record is from RNAcentral.
ACGGGUGAGUAAUGUCUGGGGAUCUGCCCGAUAGAGGGGGAUAACCACUGGAAACGGUGGCUAAUACCGCAUAACGUCGCAAGACCAAAGAGGGGGACCUUCGGGCCUCUCACUAUCGGAUGAACCCAGAUGGGAUUAGCUAGUAGGCGGGGUAACGGCCCACCUAGGCGACGAUCCCUAGCUGGUCUGAGAGGAUGACCAGCCACACUGGAACUGAGACACGGUCCAGACUCCUACGGGAGGCAGCAGUGGGGAAUACUGCACAAUGGGCGCAAGCCUGAUGCAGCCAUGCCGCGUGUAUGAAGAAGGCCUUCGGGUUGUAAAGUACUUUCAGCGGGGAGGAAGGCAACAAGGUUAAUAACCUUGUUGAUUGACGUUACCCGCAGAAGAAGCACCGGCUAACUCCGUGCCAGCAGCCGCGGUAAUACGGAGGGUGCAAGCGUUAAUCGGAAUUACUGGGCGUAAAGCGCACGCAGGCGGUCUGUUAAGUCAGAUGUGAAAUCCCCGGGCUUAACCUGGGAACUGCAUUUGAAACUGGCAGGCUUGAGUCUCGUAGAGGGGGGUAGAAUUCCAGGUGU